GAUGAACGCUGGCGGCGUGCCUAAUACAUGCAAGUCGAGCGAACAGAUGAGGAGCUUGCUCCUCUGACGUUAGCGGAGGACGGGUGAGUAACACGUGGAUAACCUACCUAUAAGACUGGGAUAACUUCGGGAAACCGGAGCUAAUACCGGAUAAUAUAUUGAACCGCAUGGUUCAAUAGUGAAAGACGGUUUUGCUGUCACUUAUAGAUGGAUCCGCGCCGCAUUAGCUAGUUGGUAAGGUAACGGGUUACCACGGCAACGAGGCGUAGCCGACCUGAGGGGGGGAUCGGCCGCACGGGAGCUGAGACACGGUCCUGGCUCCUACGGGAGGCACCAGUAGGGAAUCUUCCGCAGUGGGCGAAAGCCUGGCGGAGCAACGCCGCGUGAGUGAUGAAGGUCUUCGGAUCGUAAAACUCUGUUAUUGGUGAAGAACAAAUUUGUAAGUAACUAUGCACGUCUUGACGGUACCUAAUCAGAAAGCCACGGCUAACUACGUG
Molecule: ribosomal RNA, 497 nt
Filed under: uncultured bacterium
Lineage: Bacteria
Description: partial 16S ribosomal RNA
Rfam family: Bacterial small subunit ribosomal RNA
Source: RNAcentral